RNAcentral lists this ribosomal RNA (900 nucleotides) under uncultured bacterium. Its description in RNAcentral is "bacterial SSU rRNA". It matches the Rfam family "Bacterial small subunit ribosomal RNA", at positions 41 to 953 of the family's 1533-position model. The record is from RNAcentral.
GGGGCAGUCUUAAAUGCAGUCGAAACGGGCUCUAUUGAAACCUAGUGAUUUAUGAGUUAGUGGCGGACGGGUGAGUAACGCGUGGAAAACCUGCCGUAUACUGGGGGAUAACACUUAGAAAUAGGUGCUAAUACCGCAUAAGCGCACAGCUUCGCAUGAAGUGGUGUGAAAAACUCUGGUGGUAUACGAUGGUUCCGCGUCUGAUUAGCUUGUUGGCGGGGUAAUGGCUCACCAAGGCGACGAUCAGUAGCCGGCCUGAGAGGGUGAACGGCCACAUUGGGACUGAGACACGGCCCAAACUCCUACGGGAGGCAGCAGUGGGGAAUAUUGCACAAUGGGGGAAACCCUGAUGCAGCGACGCCGCGUGAGUGAAGAAGUAUUUCGGUAUGUAAAGCUCUAUCAGCAGGGAAGAAAAUGACGGUACCUGAUUAAGAAGCCCCGGCUAACUACGUGCCAGCAGCCGCGGUAAUACGUAGGGGGCAAGCGUUAUCCGGAUUUACUGGGUGUAAAGGGAGCGUAGACGGCAGCACAAGUCUGAAGUGAAAUGCCGGGGCUUAACCCCGGAACUGCUUUGGAAACUGUGCAGCUAGAGUGCAGGAGAGGUAAGUGGAAUUCCUAGUGUAGCGGUGAAAUGCGUAGAUAUUAGGAGGAACACCAGUGGCGAAGGCGGCUUACUGGACUGUAACUGACGUUGAGGCUCGAAAGCGUGGGGAGCAAACAGGAUUAGAUGCCCUGGUAGUCCACGCUGUANACGAUGAUUACUAGGUGUUGGGGGACCAGGGUCCUUCGGUGCCGUCGCAAACGCAUUAAGUAAUCCACCUGGGGAGUACGUUCGCAAGAAUGAAACUCAAAGGAAUUGACGGGGACCCGCACAAACGGUGGAGCAUGUGGUUUAAUUCA